This 492-nucleotide ribosomal RNA is filed under the name uncultured bacterium. RNAcentral describes it as "partial 16S ribosomal RNA". It matches the Rfam family "Bacterial small subunit ribosomal RNA", at positions 29 to 507 of the family's 1533-position model. The record is from RNAcentral.
AGUGAACGCUGGCGGUAGGCCUAACACAUGCAAGCCGAACGGCGGCACAGUAAGAGCUUGCUCUUACGGGUGGCGAGUGGCGGACGGGUGAGGAAUACAUCGGAAUCUACUUUUUCGUGGGGGAUAACGUAGGGAAACUUACGCUAAUACCGCAUACGACCUACGGGUGAAAGCAGGGGAUCUUCGGACCUUGCGCGAUUGAAUGAGCCGAUGUCGGAUUAGCUAGUUGGCGGGGUAAAGGCCCACCAAGGCGACGAUCCGUAGCUGGUCUGAGAGGAUGAUCAGCCACACUGGAACUGAGACACGGUCCAGACUCCUACGGGAGGCAGCAGUGGGGAAUAUUGGACAAUGGGCGCAAGCCUGAUCCAGCCAUACCGCGUGGGUGAAGAAGGCCUUCGGGUUGUAAAGCCCUUUUGUUGGGAAAGAAAAGCAGCAGGUUAAUACCCCGCUGUUCUGACGGUACCCAAAGAAUAAGCACCGGCUAACUUCGUG